RNAcentral lists this ribosomal RNA (234 nucleotides) under Spodoptera frugiperda (fall armyworm). RNAcentral's name for it is "partial small subunit ribosomal RNA". The record is from RNAcentral. Lineage: Eukaryota; Metazoa; Arthropoda; Insecta; Lepidoptera; Noctuidae.
UAGGAUUAGAUACCCUAUUAUUAAAAUUUAAAUUGAAAAUACUAAAAUAGUAGAUAAUUAUUUAUUGAAACUUAAAUAAUUUGGCGGUAUUUUAGUUCAUUUAGAGGAAUCUGUUUAAUAAUUGAUAAUCCACGAAUAAAUUUACUUAAUUUUUUAUUUUGUAUAUCGUUGUUAAAAGAAUAUUUUUUAAUAAUAAUAAUAUUUAAAAAUUUUGAUUAAAAAUUAAAUCAGAUC